AUUGAACGCUGGCGGCAUGCCUUACACAUGCAAGUCGAACGGCAGCACGGGUGCUUGCCCCUGGUGGCGAGUGGCGAACGGGUGAGUAAUACAUCGGAACAUGUCCUGUAGUGGGGGAUAGCCCGGCGAAAGCCGGAUUAAUACCGCAUACGAUCUACGGAUGAAAGCGGGGUACCUUCGGGCCUCGCGUCAUGGGGUUAGCUGAUGGCUGAUUAGCUAGUUGGUGGGGUAAAGGCCUACCAAGGCGACGAUCAGUAGCUGGUCUGAGAGGACGAUCAGCCACACUGGGACUGAGACACGGCCCAGACUCCUACGGGAGGCAGCAGUGGGGAAUUUUGGACAAUGGGCGAAAGCCUGAUCCAGCAAUGCCGCGUGUGUGAAGAAGGCCUUCGGGUUGUAAAGCACUGUUGUCCGGAAAGAAAUCCUUGGCCCUAAUACGGUCGGGGGAUGACGGUACCGGAAGAAUAAGCACCGGCUAACUACGUG
RNAcentral lists this ribosomal RNA (486 nucleotides) under uncultured bacterium. Its description in RNAcentral is "partial 16S ribosomal RNA". It matches the Rfam family "Bacterial small subunit ribosomal RNA", at positions 30 to 507 of the family's 1533-position model. The record is from RNAcentral.